ACGGAGGGUGCAAGCGUUAUCCGGAUUCACUGGGUUUAAAGGGUGCGUAGGAGGGCAGGUAAGUCAGUGGUGAAAUCUCCGAGCUUAACUUGGAAACUGCCGUUGAUACUAUCUGCCUUGAAUAUUGUGGAGGUGAGCGGAAUAUGUCAUGUAGCGGUGAAAUGCUUAGAUAUGACAUAGAACACCUAUUGCGAAGGCAGCUCACUACGGGAUUAUUGACACGGAGGCACGAAAGCGUGGGGAUCAAACAGGA
RNAcentral lists this ribosomal RNA (253 nucleotides) under uncultured prokaryote. RNAcentral describes it as "partial 16S ribosomal RNA". It matches the Rfam family "Bacterial small subunit ribosomal RNA", at positions 525 to 777 of the family's 1533-position model. The record is from RNAcentral.